AGGUAAAGAUAGGUUAAGUUAUAAAGGGCGCAUGGUGGAUGCCUUGGCACUAGGAGCCGAUGAAGGACGGUACUAACACCGAUAUGCUUCGGGGAGCUGUAAGUAAGCUUUGAUCCGGAGAUUUCCGAAUGGGGGAACCCAAUACUUUUAAUCGAGUAUUAUCAUUAAGUGAAUACAUAGCUUAAUGAAGGUAGACGAGGGGAACUGAAACAUCUAAGUACCUUCAGGAAGAGAAAGAAAAAUCGAUUCCCUAAGUAGCGGCGAGCGAACGGGGAAGAGCCCAAACCAAGAAGCUUGCUUCUUGGGGUUGUAGGACAGAACUUUGGAGUUACCAAGUUAAGUUGUAAUCGAAUCAGCUGGGAAGCUGAGUCAAAGAGUGUGAUAACCACGUAGAUUAAACAACUUGACCUCCGUUCUGGAUCCUGAGUACGGCGGAACACGUGAAAUUCCGUCGGAAUCCGGGAGGACCAUCUCCCAAGGCUAAAUACUCCCUAGUGACCGAUAGUGAACCAGUACCGUGAGGGAAAGGUGAAAAGCACCCCGGAAGGGGAGUGAAAUAGAUCCUGAAACCAUGUGCCUACAAUUAGUCAAAGCUCGUUAAUGAGUGAUGGCGUGCCUUUUGUAGAAUGAACCGGCGAGUUACGUUUAUAUGCGAGGUUAAAGUGAAAAGCUGGAGCCGUAGCGAAAGCGAGUCUGAAAUGGGCGAGUGAGUAUAUAGAUGUAGACCCGAAACCAAGUGACCUACCCAUGUCCAGGUUGAAGGUGUGGUAAAACACACUGGAGGACCGAACCCACGUCAGUUGAAAAUGGCGGGGAUGAGGUGUGGGUAGCGGUGAAAUUCCAAUCGAACUUGGAGAUAGCUGGUUCUCUCCGAAAUAGCUUUAGGGCUAGCCUCGGAAUAUUGGAUCAUGGAGGUAGAGCACUGUUUGGACUAGGGGCCCGUCAUGGG
This 949-nucleotide ribosomal RNA is filed under the name Latilactobacillus sakei. RNAcentral describes it as "bacterial LSU rRNA". It matches the Rfam family "Bacterial large subunit ribosomal RNA", at positions 1 to 935 of the family's 2925-position model. Lineage: Bacteria; Bacillati; Bacillota; Bacilli; Lactobacillales; Lactobacillaceae. The record is from RNAcentral.